Molecule: ribosomal RNA, 414 nt
Filed under: uncultured bacterium
Lineage: Bacteria
Description: bacterial SSU rRNA
Rfam family: Bacterial small subunit ribosomal RNA
Source: RNAcentral
UUGACGGUACCAGAGGAAUAAGCACCGGCUAACUCCGUGCCAGCAGCCGCGGUAAUACGGAGGGUGCAAGCGUUAUCCGGAUUCACUGGGUUUAAAGGGUGCGUAGGCGGGNANGUAAGUCNGUGGUGAAAUCUCCGAGCUUAACUCGGAAACUGCCNUNGAUACUAUUUGUCUUGAAUAUUGUGGAGGUGAGCGGAAUAUGUCAUGUAGCGGUGAAAUGCUUAGAUAUGACAUAGAACACCAAUUGCGAAGGCAGCUCACUACNCAAUUAUUGACGCUGAGGCACGAAAGCGUGGGGAUCAAACAGGAUUAGAUACCCUGGUAGUCCACGCCCUAAACGAUGAUUACUCGACAUCNGCGAUACACUGUUGGUGUCUGAGCGAAAGCAUUAAGUAAUCCACCUGGGAAGUACGA